This 950-nucleotide ribosomal RNA is filed under the name Lactobacillus helveticus. Its description in RNAcentral is "bacterial SSU rRNA". It matches the Rfam family "Bacterial small subunit ribosomal RNA", at positions 110 to 1054 of the family's 1533-position model. The record is from RNAcentral. Lineage: Bacteria; Bacillati; Bacillota; Bacilli; Lactobacillales; Lactobacillaceae.
GUAACACGUGGGGACCUGCCCCAUAGUCUGGGAUACCACUUGGAAACAGGUCUAAUACCGGAUAAGAAAGCAGAUCGCAUGAUCAGCUUAUAAAAGGGGCGUAAGCUGUCGCUAUGGGAUGGCCCCGCGGUGCAUUAGCUAGUUGGUAAGGUAACGGCUUACCAAGGCAAUGAUGCAUAGCCGAGUUGAGAGACUGAUCGGCCACAUUGGGACUGAGACACGGCCCAAACUCCUACGGGAGGCAGCAGUAGGGAAUCUUCCACAAUGGACGCAAGUCUGAUGGAGCAACGCCGCGUGAGUGAAGAAGGUUUUCGGAUCGUAAAGCUCUGUUGUUGGUGAAGAAGGAUAGAGGCAGUAACUGGCCUUUAUUUGACGGUAAUCAACCAGAAAGUCACGGCUAACUACGUGCCAGCAGCCGCGGUAAUAGUAGGUGGCAAGCGUUGUCCGGAUUUAUUGGGCGUAAAGCGAGCGCGGCGGAAGAAUAAGUCUGAUGUGAAAGCCCUCGGCUUAACCGAGGAACUGCAUCGGAAACUGUUUUUCUUGAGUGCAGAAGAGGAGAGUGGAACUCCAUGUGUAGCGGGGAAUGCGUAGAUAUAUGGAAGAACACCAGUGGCGAAGGCGACUCUCUGGUCUGCAACUGACGCUGAGGCUCGAAAGCAUGGGUAGCGAACAGGAUUAGAUACCCUGGUAGUCCAUGCCGUAAACGAUGAGUGCUAAGUGUUGGGAGGUUUCGCCUCUCAGUGCUGCAGCUAACGCAUUAAGCACUCCGCCUGGGGAGUACGACCGAAGGUUGAAACUCAAAGGAAUUGACGGGGGCCCGCAAAGCGGUGGAGCAUGUGGUUUAAUUCGAAGCAACGCGAAGAACCUUACCAGGUCUUGACAUCUAGUGCCAUCCUAAGAGAUUAGGAGUUCCCUUCGGGGACGCUAAGACAGGUGGUGCAUGGCUGUCC